CAGAAGUUCCUCUAGGUGCGUUGUACUCUCUGGUUUUGUUGCCGAAUAUACCAAGAUAGGACCACGCCAAACAUGAAAACUUGGAAUUGCCGCCAAAGAGGGCUAAAUACAGGGUUUCUCUUGUGCAGCACUGUGAACAGACUCAGAAAUGUGAUCCCAGGGCACCAUUUGCAAAGGAACCAUAUUGACAUAUACAGCCCACUUGUACAAAUGCAGGUAAUGUUGAAGGCUGGGUUCCUCACUGUGAUGUUAGGAGGGGGUGAUAAUUUUUUUUCCUUUUCCUUGCUGAGAAGAGAGCCAUGCUAUUUUUAAAACUGCCACCUCCCAUAAGAUACAAUGUUUUUUCUGAGGCAACAUGAGUAGUUUGCUAGGCUUUGCAAAAAUGAUAAUGGCUUCCACUCUGUGACUUUUGGACAAGACUGGGAAGCAGAGUAUCAGCCAAGGAGGCAUAAUACAGUGUUGUCAGAGGAACAGAAUAUGAGGUUGUUGGAAGUCAAGCAUUGCUCAGGAGCCAUUGAAAGUCAGGACCACUGUCUGCAAAAAAGCAGAGUCACCAUUUCACACUAUUAUAACACUUUACUUCAGAAGGGAAAUUAUAUGGAAUAGUUUGAGCUGAUUCAUAGUUUCAUCCCCACAAGGGACAAGCCCAUGUGUCCUCCUUAUCCAAAUUGGCUUAUGUACUGUUCUUGUUUUGGUCCAUAUGUGGACUUGUCCUGCCACAGCAGCAGUGAGAAGAAUUAUUAUAAUUGAGAUGGGCAGAAAAGGAAGUGUCUUCCUCUAAAUAACUGGGGUUUUCUAAUAACAGGACUUCGUACAGAUGUAUGAAGUUUUUUUGGUGGUGACAAUCACACAUUGCCUAAAUACAGAAAUCUAUUUCCACUGUAAAUCACUUUAAUGGAGCAGCUUUUCUGUGCAGCCCAGCUGAGUAAUGGCUAAACACUAACAGUACCUGAAAUCUGUAUUUGAUCUGCCUGGAAAGAGUUUGAUCUUCUGCACUUAAUUCCUGGUGGAUAGGAAUUCACAUCAUGAGAAAUACCAUCAUAAUUUGUACUAAUUAUAAUUCCUGGGAGUGAGGCCAAAUACAGCCUUGCAGACUGUGUAAUUCUCACUCAGGAACAGAUGAUUUUGGCAGAGGAGGAUGUCAGGCAAGCAGCAUGCAAAGGGGCUCUCCUAAUGUACCUGCUACCUACAUAGGCAGAGCCAGACCCCGGAGCUGUUGCUUCAGCAGCUCAGGUAAUGGGACAGACUUUCACUGCAAAAAAGCCAAAACUGUACAAAAAAAAAAUCUAGCAAACCCAAAAUAUCUGACUGU
Molecule: long non-coding RNA, 1312 nt
Filed under: Parus major (Great Tit)
Lineage: Eukaryota; Metazoa; Chordata; Aves; Passeriformes; Paridae
Description: lncRNA (ENSPMJG00000014389.1)
Source: RNAcentral